ACGGAGGGUGCAAGCGUUAUCCGGAAUCAUUGGGUUUAAAGGGUCCGCAGGCGGUCUGAUAAGUCAGUGGUGAAAGCCUAUUGCUCAACAAUAGAACUGCCAUUGAUACUGUUAGACUUGAAUUAGGUCGGAGUGGGCGGAAUAUGACAUGUAGCGGUGAAAUGCUUAGAUAUGUCAUAGAACACCGAUAGCGAAGGCAGCUCACUAGCCCUAAAUUGACGCUCAUGGACGAAAGCGUGGGGAGCAAACAGGAUUAGAUACCCUGGUAGUCCACGCCGUAAACGAUGAUUACUCGUUUUCAGCGAUAUACAGUUGGAGACUAAGCGAAAGUGAUAAGUAAUCCACCUGGGGAGUACGAUCGCAAGGUUG
RNAcentral lists this ribosomal RNA (369 nucleotides) under uncultured bacterium. RNAcentral describes it as "bacterial SSU rRNA". It matches the Rfam family "Bacterial small subunit ribosomal RNA", at positions 525 to 896 of the family's 1533-position model. The record is from RNAcentral.